UUUCGAGCAAACAUGGCUACAGAAAGGCAUGCUGGCAAGAUAUACACCAGAGAAAUGUUCGAGCAAUUUGGUCAUAUUAUAUACGAAUGUGGUGCCUACCAAGUAGAAGAGGUGGAAAAGGGUAAAACUUAUGUUGCAAUCCAUACAGAUGCAGCACAGAGAGAGAAGUGGUGCAGGAUUUCAUACAAGGUUACUGUGUUGGACGGUGGAGAGGAGUUUGACUGCGAAUGCGGACAAUUCACUCACAUGGGAUUGUUGUGCAGCCAUAUUCUUAAGGUCCUAGACUUCAUCCGCGUAACAGAAAUACCGAAGAGACACAUAGUGAAGAGGUGGACAAGAGAUGCCCUGGACAUCCUGCCUCCACACCUGAGCCAAUAC
Molecule: ribosomal RNA, 378 nt
Filed under: Triticum aestivum (bread wheat)
Lineage: Eukaryota; Viridiplantae; Streptophyta; Magnoliopsida; Poales; Poaceae
Description: partial small subunit ribosomal RNA
Source: RNAcentral